RNAcentral lists this ribosomal RNA (494 nucleotides) under uncultured bacterium. RNAcentral describes it as "bacterial SSU rRNA". It matches the Rfam family "Bacterial small subunit ribosomal RNA", at positions 24 to 518 of the family's 1533-position model. The record is from RNAcentral.
UCAGGAUGAACGCUGGCGGCGUGCUUAAUACAUGCAAGUCGAACGAAGCACCUGCGACGGAUCCUCGGGGUGAAGAUGCUGUGACUGAGUGGCGGACGGGUGAGUAACGCGUGGGUAACCUGCCUAUGCAGGGGGACAACAGUUAGAAAUGACUGCUAAUACCGCAUAAGCGCACGAGACCGCAUGGUCAAGUGUGAAAAGAUUUAUCGGCAUAAGAUGGACCCGCGUCUGAUUAGGUAGUUGGUGAGGUAACGGCCCACCAAGCCGACGAUCAGUAGCCGACUUGAGAGAGUGAUCGGCCACAUUGGGACUGAGACACGGCCCAGACUCCUACGGGAGGCAGCAGUAGGGAAUAUUGCACAAUGGGGGAAACCCUGAUGCAAGCGACGCCGCGUGAGUGAUUGAAGUAUUUCGGUACGUAAAGCUCUAUCAGCAGGGAAGAUAAUGACGGUACCUGACUAAGAAGCCCCGGCUAACUACGUGCCAGCCGCUGC